RNAcentral lists this microRNA precursor (84 nucleotides) under Bombyx mori (domestic silkworm). RNAcentral describes it as "mir-2807 microRNA precursor family". It matches the Rfam family "mir-2807 microRNA precursor family". Lineage: Eukaryota; Metazoa; Arthropoda; Insecta; Lepidoptera; Bombycidae. The record is from Rfam by way of RNAcentral.
UUCGCUCAUUUUUGUAUGGAAUGGGAUCAUUUGCCUGCGUUUGCCGCUAGGGGCGCUGUUCCAAAUGCAUACAAAAUUGGGCUA